AGUGAACGCUGGCGGUAUGCCUAACACAUGCAAGUCGAACGGCAGCACAGUAAGAGCUUGCUCUUACUGUUGGCGAGUGGCGGACGGGUGAGGAAUACAUCGGAAUCUACUUUUUCGGGGAGGAUAACGUAGGGAAACUUACGCUAAUACCGCAUACUACCUACGGGUGAAAGCAGAAGAUCUUCGGACCUUGCGCGAUUCAAUGAGCCGGUGUCGGAUUAGCUAGUUGGCUGGGUAAAGGCCCACCAAGGCAACGAUCCGUAGCUGAUCUGAGAGGAUGAUCGGCCACACUGGAACUGAGACACGGUCCAGACUCCUACGGGAGGCAGCAGUGGGGAAUCUUGGACAAUGGGCGAAAGCCUGACGCAGCAACGCCGCGUGGGUGAUGAAGGCCUUCGGGUCGUAAAACUCUGUUGUUAGGGAAGAACAGCAGUAGGUUAAUCUCUGGAUGUCUUGACGGUACCUAAAGAAUAAGCAACGGCUAACUACGUG
This 492-nucleotide ribosomal RNA is filed under the name uncultured bacterium. RNAcentral's name for it is "partial 16S ribosomal RNA". It matches the Rfam family "Bacterial small subunit ribosomal RNA", at positions 29 to 507 of the family's 1533-position model. The record is from RNAcentral.